This 267-nucleotide unclassified non-coding RNA is filed under the name plant metagenome. RNAcentral describes it as "partial contains small subunit ribosomal RNA and internal transcribed spacer 1". The stretch from base 1 to 46 matches the Rfam family "Eukaryotic small subunit ribosomal RNA", at positions 1786 to 1831 of the family's 1831-position model. The record is from RNAcentral.
AAGUCGUAACAAGGUCUCCGUAGGUGAACCUGCGGAGGGAUCAUUACACAAAUAUGAAGGCGGGGCUGGAAACCCCCUCCGGGUUCAGGCAGCCUUUAGCCAGUGCCAAUUUUGCAUUUGAUUCAAUCCCCAUUCCGUUCGUUUUUCGUUUGCCGGUUAACCUUUUCCUUUGGUUUUUCCCUUUGGGUGGGGGUUUCGCCCACCACUAGGACAAACGUAAACCUUUUGUAAUUGCAAUCAGCGUCAGUAACAAAUUAAUAAUUACAA